Molecule: long non-coding RNA, 290 nt
Organism: Gigantopelta aegis
Lineage: Eukaryota; Metazoa; Mollusca; Gastropoda; Neomphalida; Peltospiridae
Exons: 2
Source: RefSeq, a predicted model, not a curated record
AGUUAGACCAAUGCAGAAUAUUUCUCACUGAAAAAAUAUGGAAAAUAAUUUUCCUAUUAUGAGUGACCGCUGGGGUAAUAAAUAUGUUUUAAAUAUGAUUGUUUACAGUUUCAGUGUCUAUAAUUGUGGGGGCCAAAGCCUGUUGCCACCGUGACAAGAAGAAGUAGACUAAAAUCUACAUGCGUUGUUAACAGAUACAGUGAAAAUGGCCACUUAACUGCAGACGACAAAUCACUUUCAACACAACUUUACUUAAUUUUGUACUUUUGAAAUAAAAUGUCUUAAGUAUG